This 416-nucleotide ribosomal RNA is filed under the name uncultured bacterium. Its description in RNAcentral is "bacterial SSU rRNA". It matches the Rfam family "Bacterial small subunit ribosomal RNA", at positions 468 to 886 of the family's 1533-position model. The record is from RNAcentral.
CUUGACCGUACCUUCAGAGGAAGCCCCGGCUAACUACGUGCCAGCAGCCGCGGUAAUACGUAGGGGGCAAGCGUUGUCCGGAUUUACUGGGUGUAAAGGGCGCGCAGGCGGGUCGGUCAGUCAGAGGUGAAAGCCUGCAGCUUAACUGCAGAACUGCCUUUGAUACUGCCGAUCUUGAGUUCGGAAGAGAGAAGCGGAAUUCCAGGUGUAGUAGUGAAAUACGUAGAUAUCUGGAAGAACACCGGUGGCGAAGGCGGCUUCUUGGUCCGCAACUGACGCUCAAGCGCGAAAGCGUGGGUAGCAAACAGGAUUAGGGACCCUGGUAGUCCACGCUGUAAACGAUGAUUACUAGGUGUCGGAUGGUAACAUUCGGCGCCGCAGCUAACGCAUUAAGUAAUCCACCUGGGGAGUACGAU